UUGAAAGGGAAACGAUUGAAGUCAGUCGUACCUGUGGGUAAUCAGCCUUUUGGGUGUGAUUUUGUGGAGUGUGAGGAGUUAAACGCCUUCAUGCCUGCAUAUUCGUGCACUUUGGGUGUAUUUACCCGUGUGGUAAGUUAACAUCAAUUUCGGUGGUCAUAAAAUGGCUGGAGGAAUGUAGCUUCGAUCUUGUAUUGAAGUGUUAUAGCCUUCGGUAGAUGUGAUGAUCGGGAUUGAGGAUUGCAACGGAUACCCCUCGGGGCUACCUGUCUGAUCUCUGAUCGUUGCUCUGGUGCCGAAAGCUUGCUUACGGAUAUCAAAGUCGAUGGUCAAUAGGUUAGAACGGGUUAAAUUCGUUAAGGAUGUUGACGUA
This 373-nucleotide ribosomal RNA is filed under the name uncultured Glomeromycotina. Its description in RNAcentral is "LSU rRNA". The record is from RNAcentral. Lineage: Eukaryota; Fungi; Glomeromycota.